AACAGUCAGUGGUUUGCAAUGAACAUGCGGGAAUAACUUUUUACUUAGAUAACGGUCGUGUUUAUCCCAUAAAUGUCAAAAACAAUCAUUAACCGGUGUUUGUCAGGAAUAUAUUAGAUGCCUUAUUUAUACACAUUUGCCAUACAGAUUGAAAAUAGCCUUUCAACUUUAGGAGACAGACCAAGUACUAUUCACACUGAUCUGAUCUUACUCUCCUCAUAUUCCUUUCAGCUCUCCCCCAGAUUCUAUUGCUCACCUACAUGUUAGGGGCAACUUGCCAAUUGACCCAGCAACCUGCAGAUUUUUGGGUUGUGAGAGGGAACUGGAGCACUGAGGAAACACGUCCAAGUCGGAAGAACAUGCAGACUCAACACAUGGAGCUGCUGAGAAACUUCUUGACAAUGAAAAUGACUUUCUCCAGAUCUGUGAGUUCUCAGCUGUUUGAUGAGGUCAGAAUGAAAUCUACUGCCGGCAAGAAAUGAGCGUCAGGCAGGUACCAGCAUGCUAGCGGCCUUCUUAAAGCAGGGCAACUUAGACUAAAGCAGAAAGAGGUUAGAAGUGUCUGCAGAAAUGCCCGCCAACUGAUCUGCAUAAGACGUAAGGACACUGUCAGGAUUACUAUCUGGGCCUUGAGUCCACUCUCUAAGAGACAGAUCUUACAUCAGUAACAGACUUCCACUGACUGACCUCCAACAAUGACUUUCUUCCUUUAUGUGAAAUACUGCUCCAAAGAAUGGAGUAUUUUCCCUGAGAUGCACAUUGAUGAGAUUUACCAAAGCACCUUGAUUCCACCAUUGGUCAAUAUAAUUUAAAUUGCUGCAUGGAAUGUCAGUGUAUACCCUCGAGAGGUUUAUAUUCACUAAUUCUGUCUGAGGGGAGCACUCAAGAGCACAGAUCAGGAAACUAGAAUGUCAAUGACUUGAUCUUAUUUCUGUCACACCUGUAUACAAACCUGGCUGCCUACAUGAAAUAUGAUGCUAUUGAUCCUCAGGAUUUCAAUACAAUUGAGUUAGAUUUAUAUAUGAUCAAUUAAUUAAAAGAUAAAAUGAAAGGUUUCCAGUUAACUCCAUUGAUCAAAUAUGAAACUUAUUUUUUAUUAAAGACUCAAGAGAUACUUUGCUUGUAUUAAUAGACCUUAAAACACUUUGUAUUUUAAGUGUUCUUUCAUUCUAAGGAUUCAACAGCAUACUGCGUUAAAUUUAAAAGAGGUGGACUGGACCGCUCCAUUUGUGUGAAUGUGAUUUCAAAUCUAUAAAUUAAUUCUUCAAUAUAAACACUAUUAAAUGUGAAUUGUUUGUAAUACAUCACAAACAACACCUUUUUUACAGUCUUGUCAUGUGGCCAGGGUAGAAUCUUUAUUAUCAAUCUUUAUUAUCUUGUCAAGUCCAAUAACUUUUCAGUGAAUAGUAAAAACGUGUUGAAAUUGCUUUUGUAGGGAAUUCUAUUGACUUUUAUUACCCCUGAAACAAUUUAGUUGUCCUUCAAGAGAUAACAGAAUAAAUAAGACCAGUAAAAUUGAAUUAGU
Molecule: long non-coding RNA, 1525 nt
Organism: Hypanus sabinus (Atlantic stingray)
Lineage: Eukaryota; Metazoa; Chordata; Chondrichthyes; Myliobatiformes; Dasyatidae
Exons: 3
Source: RefSeq, a predicted model, not a curated record